Molecule: unclassified non-coding RNA, 309 nt
Filed under: Aurelia sp. GAM-2014
Lineage: Eukaryota; Metazoa; Cnidaria; Scyphozoa; Semaeostomeae; Ulmaridae
Description: sequence contains ITS1
Rfam family: 5.8S ribosomal RNA (bases 215-309)
Source: RNAcentral
UCACUGUGAACUUGUACCGAUCUGUGUGAGGUGGGUAGAGUGCACAUGCGUGUGCACGUCUAUGCUUAAAUGAUGGGCGUCUUCCCAUCGGCCUCACAUGGAGUUAGCUUGUGUUUUUUUUUUAAAUUACACUCUUAAACUUUCCUGACUAUAGAUAAUCGAACGUGCUUUUUUUAGUGUGCUCGAUUAUCAUAACGUUGAAAAAAUGAGAUACAACUUCUAACGGUGGAUCUCUUGGCUCGUGCAUCGAUGAAGAACGCAGCCAGCUGCGAUAAGUAGUGUGAAUUGCAGAACUCAGCGAAUCAUCGA